GAAAGUAAGUAAGGGCGUAUGGGGAAUGCCUAGGCUCUUGGAGGCUAAGAAGGACGUGGUAAGCUGCGAAAAGCUGCGGGGAUUUGCAAACGAGACUCGAUCCGCAGAUAUCCGAAUGGGACAACCCGGCAGGUAGAAGACCUGUCACACCGCGAGGUGAGCUAACCCUCUGAACUGAAACAUCUAAGUAGGAGGAGGAAAAGAAAGAAACAUCGAUUUCCAAAGUAGCGGCGAGCGAAAUGGAAGAAGCCCAAACCGAUAUUGUUACGGCAAUAUCGGGGUUGUAGGACUGCAAUAUUCAAUUAACAAUGAACUGGAAUGGUCUGGAAAGUCCAUCCAUAGAGAGUGAAAGGCUCGUACAGGUAAGUUUGUUAUGCGAAAGCAGUAUCCUGAGUAUGGCGGGACACGAGGAAUCCUGUCAGAAUCAGCCGGGACCACCCGGUAAGGCUAAAUACUCCCAAGAGACCGAUAGUGGACCAGUACUGUGAAGGAAAGGUGAAAAGAACCCCGAACAGGGGAGUGAAAUAGAACCUGAAACCAUACGCUUACAACCGGUCGGAGCAGCUUCGUGCUGUGACGGCGUGCCUAUUGAAUAAUGAGCCUACGAGUUACUAAUCACUGGCAAGGUUAAGUGCACGGAUGCACGGAGCCGAAGCGAAAGCGAGUCUGAAUAGGGCGUUUAGUCAGUGGUUGUAGACGCGAAACCUUGCGAUCUACCCUUGAGCAGGUUGAAGGUUGGGUAAAACCAACUGGAGGACCGAACGAAUAAGCGUUGAAAAGCUUCUCGAUGACUUGAGGGUAGGGGUGAAAGGCUAAUCAAGCUGGGAAAUAGCUCGUACUCCCCGAAAUGCCUUUUGGGGCAGCGUUGUAAUAAAGAGUCUACUGGAGGUAGAGCUACUGAUUGGAUGCGGGGGCUUCACCGCCUACCAAAUCCUGACAAACUCCGAAUGCCAGUAGUAUGAUUUACAGCAGUGAGCGACCGGGUGCUAAUGUCCGGUUACGAGAGUGGAACAACACAGACCAGCAACUAAGGUCCCGAAGAGUAUACUAAGUUGAUCUAACGAUGUUUUGCUGCAGAGACAGCUAGGAUGUUAGCUUGGAAGCAGCUAUUCAUUCAAAGAGUGCGUAACAGCUCACUAGUCGAGCGACAGAGCGUGGAUAAUAAACGGGCAUCAAGCAUAUCACCGAAGUUCUGGGCGCGAGAGCGCGGUAGGGGAGCAUUCCAUUCAGCGUCGAAGCAGUUUCGUGAGGAAUUGUGGAGCGUAUGGAAAAGCAAAUGUAGGCAUGAGUAACGAUAAUGCGGGAGAGUAACCCGCACACCGCAAGACCAAGGUUUCCUGAUCAACGCUAAUCGGAUCAGGGUUAGUCGGGUCCUAAGGGUAAGCCGAACGGCGAUCUCGAUGGAUAAUCGGUUAAUAUUCCGAUACUAACAUAUACCUCGAUGGAGAGACGAAGGAACGUAAGUGCCGCCACCUGACGGAAUAGGUGGUUAAAGGGCGUAGGUAUAGGGGCAGAUUAAGAGUUAGUCCUUGCUGAAACCUGACAGUACAGAGAGCCUACGGGCAAUUUGAUAGUGCACCCAAGUCGACUUCCGAGAAAAUCUUCUAAGUUAUAGUAUAUGUCACCCGUACCGUAAACCGACACAGGUGGUCGAGGAGAGUAUCCUAAGGUGCUCGAGUGAAUCACGGUUAAGGAACUAGGCAAAUUAACCCCGUAACUUCGGGAAAAGGGGUCCCUACGCGAGUAGGGCGCAGCGAAGAGGUCCAGGCGACUGUUUAUCAAAAACACAGGGCUCUGCAAAUUCGAAAGAAGACGUAUAGGGCCUGACACCUGCCCGGUGCUGGAAGGUUAAGAGGAGAUGUCAUCGCAAGAGAAGCAUUGAAUCGAAGCCCCAGUAAACGGCGGCCGUAACUAUAACGGUCCUAAGGUAGCGAAAUUCCUUGUCGGGUAAGUUCCGAC
This 1959-nucleotide ribosomal RNA is filed under the name human gut metagenome. RNAcentral describes it as "bacterial LSU rRNA". It matches the Rfam family "Bacterial large subunit ribosomal RNA", at positions 1 to 1987 of the family's 2925-position model. The record is from RNAcentral.